GGGUCCAUAGCUCAGUUGGUAGAGCAACGGACUUUUAAUCUGUAGGUCAUGGGUUCGAGUCCCAUUGGACCCACCA
Molecule: transfer RNA, 76 nt
Filed under: Sphingomonas abietis
Lineage: Bacteria; Pseudomonadati; Pseudomonadota; Alphaproteobacteria; Sphingomonadales; Sphingomonadaceae
Description: Sphingomonas sp. PAMB00755 tRNA-Lys
Rfam family: tRNA
About the family: Transfer RNA (tRNA) molecules are approximately 80 nucleotides in length.
Source: RNAcentral